RNAcentral lists this ribosomal RNA (441 nucleotides) under uncultured bacterium. RNAcentral's name for it is "bacterial SSU rRNA". It matches the Rfam family "Bacterial small subunit ribosomal RNA", at positions 339 to 797 of the family's 1533-position model. The record is from RNAcentral.
CUACGGGAGGCAGCAGUGGGGAAUAUUGGACAAUGGGGGAAACCCUGAUCCAGCAAUGCCGCGUGAGUGAUGAAGGCCUUCGGGUUGUAAAGCUCUUUUAUCAGGGACGAUAAUGACGGUACCUGAUGAAUAAGCACCGGCUAACUUCGUGCCAGCAGCCGCGGUAAUACGAAGGGUGCUAGCGUUGUUCGGAAUGACUGGGCGUAAAGGGAGCGUAGGCGGCUUUGUACGUUUGAUGUGAAAGUCCUGGGCUUAACCUGGGGACUGCAUUGAAUACGGCAAGGCUUGAGGUAUAGAGGGGAAGAUGGAAUUGCGUGUGUAGAGGUGAAAUUCGUAGAUAUACGCAAGAACACCAGUGGCGAAGGCGAUCUUCUGGCUAUAACCUGACGCUAAGGCUCGAAAGCGUGGGGAGCAAACAGGAUUAGAUACCCGCGUAGUCCG